AUUGAACGCUGGCGGCAGGCCUAACACAUGCAAGUCGAGCGGAUGAAGGGAGCUUGCUCCUGGAUUCAGCGGCGGACGGGUGAGUAAUGCCUAGGAAUCUGCCUGGUAGUGGGGGAUAACGUCCGGAAACGGGCGCUAAUACCGCAUACGUCCUGAGGGAGAAAGUGGGGGAUCUUCGGACCUCACGCUAUCAGAUGAGCCUAGGUCGGAUUAGCUAGUUGGUGGGGUAAAGGCCUACCAAGGCGACGAUCCGUAACUGGUCUGAGAGGAUGAUCAGUCAAAGUGGAAAUGGGACACGGUCCAGACUCCCACGGGAGGCAGGAGUGGGGAAUAUUGGACAAUGGGCGGAAGGCUGAUCCGGCCAUGGCGCGUGUGUGAAGAAAGUCCUCGGAUUGUAAAGCACUUUAAGUUGGGAGGAAGGGCAGUAAGUUAAUACCUUGCUGUUUUGACGUUACCAACAGAAUAAGCACCGGCUAACUUCGUG
RNAcentral lists this ribosomal RNA (484 nucleotides) under uncultured bacterium. RNAcentral's name for it is "partial 16S ribosomal RNA". It matches the Rfam family "Bacterial small subunit ribosomal RNA", at positions 30 to 507 of the family's 1533-position model. The record is from RNAcentral.